AACGAACGCUGGCGGCAUGCCUAACACAUGCAAGUCGAACGAAGGCUUCGGCCUUAGUGGCGCACGGGUGCGUAACGCGUGGGAAUCUGCCCUUUGGUUCGGAAUAACAGCUGGAAACGGCUGCUAAUACCGGAUGAUGACGAAAGUCCAAAGAUUUAUCGCCAGAGGAUGAGCCCGCGUUGGAUUAGGUAGUUGGUGGGGUAAAGGCCUACCAAGCCGACGAUCCAUAGCUGGUCUGAGAGGAUGAUCAGCCACACUGGGACUGAGACGCGGCCCAGACUCCUACGGGAGGCAGCAGUGGGGAAUAUUGGACAAUGGGCGCAAGCCUGAUCCAGCAAUGCCGCGUGAGUGAUGAAGGCCCUAGGGUUGUAAAGCUCUUUUACCCGGGAAGAUAAUGACUGUACCGGGAGAAUAAGCCCCGGCUAACUCCGUG
Molecule: ribosomal RNA, 433 nt
Filed under: uncultured bacterium
Lineage: Bacteria
Description: partial 16S ribosomal RNA
Rfam family: Bacterial small subunit ribosomal RNA
Source: RNAcentral